UCUCAGCCCAAAAUCUCCUUAAGAUGAUGAGCAACUUGAGCAAAGUCUCAGGAUACAAAAUCAAUGCUCAAAAAUCAUGAGCAUUUCUAUACACCAAUAACAGACAAACAGAGAGCAAAUAAUGAGCCAACUCCCAUUCACGAUUGCUAAAAAGAGAGUAAAAUACCUAGGAAUACAACUACAAAAAAUGUGAAUGACCUCAUCAAGGAGAAUUAUAAAACACUGCUCAAAGAAAUUAUACAAGAC
Molecule: long non-coding RNA, 246 nt
Organism: Sapajus apella (tufted capuchin)
Lineage: Eukaryota; Metazoa; Chordata; Mammalia; Primates; Cebidae
Exons: 3
Source: RefSeq, a predicted model, not a curated record